GUGAUGUAGCUCAGGUGGUUAGAGCGCAGGAUUCAUAAUCCUGAGGUCGAGAGUUCAAGUCUCUCCAUCACC
RNAcentral lists this transfer RNA (72 nucleotides) under marine eukaryotic metagenome. It matches the Rfam family "tRNA". From Rfam's summary of the family: Transfer RNA (tRNA) molecules are approximately 80 nucleotides in length. Their secondary structure includes four short double-helical elements and three loops (D, anti-codon, and T loops). The record is from RNAcentral.